This 571-nucleotide ribosomal RNA is filed under the name Lodderomyces parapsilosis. RNAcentral's name for it is "Candida parapsilosis partial large subunit ribosomal RNA". It matches the Rfam family "Eukaryotic large subunit ribosomal RNA", at positions 63 to 650 of the family's 3401-position model. The record is from RNAcentral. Lineage: Eukaryota; Fungi; Ascomycota; Pichiomycetes; Serinales; Debaryomycetaceae.
AACCAACAGGGAUUGCCUUAGUAGCGGGGAGUGAAGCGGCAAAAGCUCAAAUUUGAAAUCUGGCACUUUCAGUGUCCGAGUUGUAAUUUGAAGAAGGUAUCUUUGGGUCUGGCUCUUGUCUAUGUUUCUUGGAACAGAACGUCACAGAGGGUGAGAAUCCCGUGCGAUGAGAUGUCCCAGACCUAUGUAAAGUUCCUUCGAAGAGUCGAGUUGUUUGGGAAUGCAGCUCUAAGUGGGUGGUAAAUUCCAUCUAAAGCUAAAUAUUGGCGAGAGACCGAUAGCGAACAAGUACAGUGAUGGAAAGAUGAAAAGAACUUUGAAAAGAGAGUGAAAAAGUACGUGAAAUUGUUGAAAGGGAAGGGCUUGAGAUCAGACUUGGUAUUUUGUAUGUUACUCUCUCGGGGGUGGCCUCUACAGUUUACCGGGCCAGCAUCAGUUUGAGCGGUAGGAUAAGUGCAAAGAAAUGUGGCACUGCUUCGGUAGUGUGUUAUAGUCUUUGUCGAUACUGCCAGCUUAGACUGAGGACUGCGGCUUCGGCCUAGGAUGUUGGCAUAAUGAUCUUAAGUCGCCC